AUGCCACCUUCCGUGCACGACACGGAAGGCCUGCCGUUCAUGAAGCAUGGUUGUGUCUUCAUUGCGCACCGCCGGAUGAAUGACAUGCUGGGACACGCUAUCCCUGAUUUAUGCCGCUUCAGCUUGGAUGAGUCUCCAUCGUGUGGAACUGGACUAGAAAGCUGCGACAAUGAUUCUCGUUGCCCACCGCUAUGGAUCAUGCCAUCCAUGAAGAACACCUGGGACUGGAACCUGGAGGAGGACAUGCAUAAUUACCGAUGCAAGUCGAAGAAGGAUUGGCCGGUGCUGCCGGCUGGCGUCAAGUUCGAUCCCACGGAUCAGGAGCUGAUCGAGCACCUUGAGGCCAAAGUGAGUGCUGAUAGUGCAAGAUUUCAGUCUCUCAUCGAUUUGUUCAUACCAACCAUCGACAGCGAGCACAGCAUAUGCUACACCCAACCUGAGAAACUUCCAGGUAUCACACUGAGUGGCCUAAGGAAGCAAUUCUUCCAGCGCAAUUCCAGGGCGUUCAAAAGGGGCACGUGGAUGCACCACAAGAUACAGUCGGAGUGCGGCAUGCACGCGAUGUGGCACAAGACCGGCAAUACCUUGCCGAUGAUGGUCAACGGCCGGCAGACGGGCAACAAAAAAGGUUCUGGUGCUGCACACCAAUAA
This 651-nucleotide ribosomal RNA is filed under the name Triticum aestivum (bread wheat). Its description in RNAcentral is "partial small subunit ribosomal RNA". The record is from RNAcentral. Lineage: Eukaryota; Viridiplantae; Streptophyta; Magnoliopsida; Poales; Poaceae.